GGUCACGUGGCCAAGUGGCUAAGGCACCGGUUUGCAAAACCGUUAUUCGUGGGUUCGAAUCCCACCGUGACCUCAA
This is a transfer RNA of 76 nucleotides. It matches the Rfam family "tRNA". Rfam says of the family: Transfer RNA (tRNA) molecules are approximately 80 nucleotides in length. Their secondary structure includes four short double-helical elements and three loops (D, anti-codon, and T loops).